AAUGAACGCUGGCGGCAUGGCUAAGACAUGCAAGUCGAACGGUACGGUCGAUUGGGUAACCGAGAGAUCGUAUAGUGGCGAAAGGGUGCGGAAUAGAUAGGUAACGUACUUCAAACUUCGGGAUAGCGUUCCGAAAGGAACGGUAAUACCGGAUGAUAUCAGCGAUUGUAAGGUUGCUGAUCAAAGAUUUAUCGGUUUGAAAGCGGCCUAUCUCCUAUCAGCUAGUUGGUGAGGUAACGGCCCACCAAGGCGACGACGGGUAGCGGGACUGAGAGGUUGACCCGCCACAUCGGGACUGAGACACUGCCCGGACCUCCACGGAGGGCUGCAGUAACGAAUAUUGGGCAAUGGGCGAAAGCCUGACCCAGCGAUGCCGCGUAUAGGAUGAAGUUCUUCGGAAUGUAAACUAUUGUCAGGGGUUAGAAAGCCGUAAGGUUGAUCAGCCCCGGAGGAAGUCACGACUAACUUCGUG
RNAcentral lists this ribosomal RNA (472 nucleotides) under uncultured bacterium. Its description in RNAcentral is "bacterial SSU rRNA". It matches the Rfam family "Bacterial small subunit ribosomal RNA", at positions 29 to 507 of the family's 1533-position model. The record is from RNAcentral.